Molecule: long non-coding RNA, 937 nt
Organism: Poecilia reticulata (guppy)
Lineage: Eukaryota; Metazoa; Chordata; Actinopteri; Cyprinodontiformes; Poeciliidae
Source: RefSeq, a predicted model, not a curated record
UAACAAAUUGCUUUUGCAACACUCCAAAGACGUCUUUGCUUGGAGAUCCGCGAUAAGGAAACGGUUAAGCUGGGCAGCGUGAGUCUGUGUUAAAACGGUUAUAGCACUGGAUACGAACUAAACAAACGCUUUCCCAGAUAUCAUCCGACUUCUCAGCUGGAAGUGUGAAGUAAAAAAAAAAAAGACAACUUCACUUUUUCUGCCAAACACCGUUAGAGCUAACUUGUUACCUCUAACGGUUAACGGCCACUAGUUUAGCUCUAACGGCUACUAGGCUACGGUUUAAGUUAAUCUUGUUCUCCGCUCAGUUGAAGUUGCCCCACGGGUCUGGACUGAGAGCCACCAUAUUAUUGUCCCUAACGCGUCGCAUUGAGAUCGGUCAGUUUUUUUUUAUUUAUGCUGGAUUGUUCCUGAGGUGGAUUCCUCCUGUGACUUCGAUGGCGAGCCUUCCCACCUGGAUUCAGAAAGAACUGKAUUCAUUCUUUUCCAUUUGGAGUCCUGCUGCACCCAACGGUGUGGUAGGCCUGUAUCACUCACAUCUUCACACACAGUUGGUUAUGAGUGAGACCACUGACUGACAUUUUUCAUUCUUAUUGUUUAAUCUUGGAAUUUCUGACCUUACCUUUUGGACCAGUUUUUAUUUUGGAACUUUAUAAACGAACUGCUGUGUAGGAAAUUCUCCUCAUGUGAAYGGUGUUGAGUUAAACUUAAUUGGAACUGAAAUUGAUUAAUCUGUUGCCUGUUACUAUUUAGAAUUCAGAUUACCAGGGUGCACCCAAACGAUUUAAAACUGAGAACUAGCACUUGGCCACGUAUUUUUAUUAUUUCUUGUAUUUCACUUUGUGUAGUUUUAUUUUCAUAAUUGUGAGAUUGUGUGUCUUGUAUAACUGUUUGUCAAUUCAUGGUUUGUGUCACUAAAGCCAGUUCUUUAAAUUCA